RNAcentral lists this ribosomal RNA (885 nucleotides) under uncultured bacterium. RNAcentral's name for it is "bacterial SSU rRNA". It matches the Rfam family "Bacterial small subunit ribosomal RNA", at positions 51 to 935 of the family's 1533-position model. The record is from RNAcentral.
ACACAUGCAAGUCGAACGAGAAUCUACUGAAAGAGUUUUCGGACAAUGGAUGUAGAGGAAAGUGGCGGACGGGUGAGUAACGCGUGAGGAACCUGCCUUGAAGAGGGGGACAACAGUUGGAAACGACUGCUAAUACCGCAUGACGCAUAGAGGUCGCAUGAUCUUUAUGCCAAAGAUUUAUCGCUUCAAGAUGGCCUCGCGUCUGAUUAGCUGGUUGGCGGGGUAACGGCCCACCAAGGCGACGAUCAGUAGCCGGACUGAGAGGUUGAACGGCCACAUUGGGACUGAGAUACGGCCCAGACUCCUACGGGAGGCAGCAGUGGGGAAUAUUGGGCAAUGGGCGCAAGCCUGACCCAGCAACGCCGCGUGAAGGAAGAAGGCUUUCGGGUUGUAAACUUCUUUUAAGAGGGAAGAGCAGAAGACGGUACCUCUAGAAUAAGCCACGGCUAACUACGUGCCAGCAGCCGCGGUAAUACGUAGGUGGCAAGCGUUGUCCGGAUUUACUGGGUGUAAAGGGCGUGCAGCCGGGUCUGCAAGUCAGAUGUGAAAUCCAUGGGCUCAACCCAUGAACUGCAUUUGAAACUGUAGAUCUUGAGUGUCGGAGGGGCAAUCGGAAUUCCUAGUGUAGCGGUGAAAUGCGUAGAUAUUAGGAGGAACACCAGUGGCGAAGGCGGAUUGCUGGACGAUAACUGACGGUGAGGCGCGAAAGUGUGGGGAGCAAACAGGAUUAGAUACCCUGGUAGUCCACACUGUAAACGAUGAAUACUAGGUGUGCGGGGACUGACCCCUUGCGUGUCGCAGUAAACACAAUAAGUAUUCCACCUGGGGAGUACGAUCGCAAGGUUGAAACUCAAAGGAAUUGACGGGGGCCCGCACAAGCGGUGG